This 332-nucleotide unclassified non-coding RNA is filed under the name soil metagenome. Its description in RNAcentral is "partial contains 5.8S ribosomal RNA, internal transcribed spacer 2, and large subunit ribosomal RNA". The stretch from base 1 to 120 matches the Rfam family "5.8S ribosomal RNA", at positions 35 to 154 of the family's 154-position model. The record is from RNAcentral.
GAUGAAGAACGCAGCGAAAUGCGAUAAGUAAUGUGAAUUGCAGAAUUCAGUGAAUCAUCGAAUCUUUGAACGCACAUUGCGCCCGCCAGUAUUCUGGCGGGCAUGCCUGUCCGAGCGUCAUUUCAACCAUCAAGCCCCGAGCUUGUGUUGGGGACCUGCGUCCGACGCAGGCCCUGAAAACCAGUGGCGGGCUCGCUGUCCACACCGAGCGUAGUAACUAACCUCGCUAUGGAGUGGCGCGGGCGCCUGCCGUAAAACCCCCAAUUUCACACGGUUGACCUCGGAUCAGGUAGGAAUACCCGCUGAACUUAAGCAUAUCAAUAAGCGGAGGA